Molecule: transfer RNA, 73 nt
Filed under: Bifidobacterium longum subsp. infantis
Lineage: Bacteria; Bacillati; Actinomycetota; Actinomycetes; Bifidobacteriales; Bifidobacteriaceae
Description: tRNA-OTHER
Rfam family: tRNA
About the family: Transfer RNA (tRNA) molecules are approximately 80 nucleotides in length.
Source: RNAcentral
AUGCUGGUAGCUCAGUUGGCUAGAGCGUAUGGCUACGGUCAUAGGGUCGGUGGUUCGAGUCCACCCCGGCACU